This 563-nucleotide ribosomal RNA is filed under the name Schwanniomyces vanrijiae. Its description in RNAcentral is "partial large subunit ribosomal RNA". It matches the Rfam family "Eukaryotic large subunit ribosomal RNA", at positions 77 to 656 of the family's 3401-position model. The record is from RNAcentral. Lineage: Eukaryota; Fungi; Ascomycota; Pichiomycetes; Serinales; Debaryomycetaceae.
GCCUCAGUAACGGCGAGUGAAGCGGCAAAAGCUCAAAUUUGAAAUCUGGCACCUUCGGUGUCCGAGUUGUAAUUUGAAGAAGGUAACUUUGGAGUUGGCUCUUGUCUAUGUUCCUUGGAACAGGACGUCACAGAGGGUGAGAAUCCCGUGCGAUGAGAUGCCCAAUUCUAUGUAAAGUGCUUUCGAAGAGUCGAGUUGUUUGGGAAUGCAGCUCUAAGUGGGUGGUAAAUUCCAUCUAAAGCUAAAUAUUGGCGAGAGACCGAUAGCGAACAAGUACAGUGAUGGAAAGAUGAAAAGAACUUUGAAAAGAGAGUGAAAAAGUACGUGAAAUUGUUGAAAGGGAAGGGCUUGAGAUCAGACUUGGUAUUUUGCAAGCUUUACCUUCGUGGUGGAGUCCCCUGCAGUUUACUGGGCCAGCAUCGGUUUGGAUGGUAGGAUAAUGACUUGGGAAUGUGGCUUUGCUUCGGUAAAGUGUUAUAGCCCUUGUUGAUGCUACCUGUCUAGACCGAGGACUGCGUCUUUGACUAGGAUGUUGGCAUAAUGAUCUUAAGUCGCCCGUCUUG